This 71-nucleotide transfer RNA is filed under the name bacterium. RNAcentral's name for it is "tRNA-Gly". It matches the Rfam family "tRNA". From Rfam's summary of the family: Transfer RNA (tRNA) molecules are approximately 80 nucleotides in length. Their secondary structure includes four short double-helical elements and three loops (D, anti-codon, and T loops). RNAcentral also lists the same sequence under 1 other name. The record is from RNAcentral.
GCGGUCAUCGUUUAGUGGUAGGACGCGUCCUUGCCAAGGACGGGACGGGGGUUCGAUUCCCCCUGACCGCA